UUGUAGCGGGUAUAGUUUAGUGGUAAAAGUGUGAUU
Molecule: transfer RNA, 36 nt
Filed under: Solanum pentaphyllum
Lineage: Eukaryota; Viridiplantae; Streptophyta; Magnoliopsida; Solanales; Solanaceae
Description: partial tRNA-Gly
Source: RNAcentral